Molecule: ribosomal RNA, 45 nt
Filed under: Glechoma hederacea (ground ivy)
Lineage: Eukaryota; Viridiplantae; Streptophyta; Magnoliopsida; Lamiales; Lamiaceae
Also listed under: 2 other names
Source: RNAcentral
GGUGCGAUCAUACCAGCACUAAAACACCGAAUUCCAUCAGAACUA